Molecule: ribosomal RNA, 495 nt
Filed under: uncultured bacterium
Lineage: Bacteria
Description: partial 16S ribosomal RNA
Rfam family: Bacterial small subunit ribosomal RNA
Source: RNAcentral
GACGAACGCUGGCGGCGUGCCUAAUACAUGCAAGUCGAACGCUGAAGGAGGAGCUUGCUUCUCUGGAUGAGUUGCGAACGGGUGAGUAACGCGUAGGUAACCUGCCUGGUAGCGGGGGAUAACUAUUGGAAACGAUAGCUAAUACCGCAUAAUAGUAGAUGUUGCAUGACAUUUGCUUAAAAGGUGCAAUUGCAUCACUACCAGAUGGACCUGCGUUGUAUUAGCUAGUUGGUGGGGUAACGGCUCACCAAGGCGACGAUACAUAGCCGACCUGAGAGGGUGAUCGGCCACACUGGGACUGAGACACGGCCCAGACUCCUACGGGAGGCAGCAGGAGGGAAUCUUCGGCAAUGGACGGAAGUCUGACCGAGCAACGCCGCGUGAGUGAAGAAGGGUUUCGGAUCGUAAAGCUCGGUUGUAAGAGAAGAACGAGUGUGAGAGUGGAAAGUUCACACUGUGACGGUAGCUUACCAGAAAGGGACGGCUAACUACGUG